GAUGAACGCUGGCGGCGUGCUUAACACAUGCAAGUCGAACGAUGAAGCCCAGCUUGCUGGGUGGAUUAGUUGCGAACGGGUGAGUAACACGUGAGUAACCUGCCCUUGACUCUGGGAUAAGCCUGGGAAACUGGGUCUAAUACUUGAUAUGACUUCUCAUCGCAUGGUGGGGGGUGGAAAGAUUUAUUGGUCUUGGAUGGACUCGCGGCCUAUCAGCUUGUUGGUGAGGUAAUGGCUCACCAAGGCGACGACGGGUAGCCGGCCUGAGAGGGUGACCGGCCACACUGGUAAUGAGACAAGGACCAGACUCCUACGGGAGGCAGCAGUGGGGAAUAUUGCGCAAAGGGCGCAAGCAUGAUGCAGCGACGACGCGUGAGGGAUGACGGCCUUCGGGUUGUAAGCCUCUUUCAGUAGGGAAGAAGCGAGAGUGACGGUACCUGCAGAAGAAGCGCCGGCUAACUACGG
This 465-nucleotide ribosomal RNA is filed under the name uncultured bacterium. RNAcentral's name for it is "partial 16S ribosomal RNA". It matches the Rfam family "Bacterial small subunit ribosomal RNA", at positions 28 to 506 of the family's 1533-position model. The record is from RNAcentral.